Molecule: ribosomal RNA, 240 nt
Filed under: uncultured bacterium
Lineage: Bacteria
Description: partial 16S ribosomal RNA
Rfam family: Bacterial small subunit ribosomal RNA
Source: RNAcentral
UGGCGAACGGGUGAGUAACGCGUGAGGAACCUGCCUCAAAGAGGGGGGCAACAGUUGGAAACGACUGCUAAUACCGCAUAAGCCCACGGGUCGGCAUCGACCUGAGGGAAAAGGAGCAAUCCGCUUUGAGAUGGCCUCGCGUCCGAUUAGCUAGUUGGUGAGGUAACGGCCCACCAAGGCGACGAUCGGUAGCCGGACUGAGAGGUUGAACGGCCACAUUGGGACUGAGACACGGCCCAG